CAGCAGCCGCGGUAAUACGAAGGGUGCAAGCGUUAAUCGGAAUUACUGGGCGUAAAGCGUGCGUAGGCGGUGAGUUAAGUCUGCUGUGAAAUCCCCGGGCUCAACCUGGGAAUGGCAGUGGAUACUGGCAAGCUAGAGUGUGUCAGAGGAUGGUGGAAUUCCCGGUGUAGCGGUGAAGUGCGUAGAGAUCGGGAGGAACAUCAGUGGCGAAGGCGGCCAUCUGGGACAACACUGACGCUGAGGCACGAAAGCGUGGGGAGCAAACAGGAUUAGAUACCCCCGUAGUCCCUGUCUCUUAUAC
This 301-nucleotide ribosomal RNA is filed under the name uncultured bacterium. RNAcentral describes it as "partial 16S ribosomal RNA". It matches the Rfam family "Bacterial small subunit ribosomal RNA", at positions 509 to 807 of the family's 1533-position model. The record is from RNAcentral.